CUCUAUUAGUUUCAGAUUUGAUUCACUAAUCAAAUCUAAUUUUGUAUGUAUCGGUCCUUCCACCUCAUGAACUUCAUCAAGUUCAAUUUUAUAGGCAUUAGUUCUUUCACUAAGAAUUUUUUUUUCAAAAAGACUAUAUGGCUGCUGACAAACACCUUUUGUUCUGCAGCGAUAGAAGUAGUACCCUUUAGUUUCUUUGGAUAUCCUAUAAACAAGCAUCUAUCGAACUUCGGUCCAAGCUUAUCUAUCUUUAAACACUGGAUAUAAGUUGGACACCCCC
This 280-nucleotide long non-coding RNA is filed under the name Elaeis guineensis (African oil palm). RNAcentral's name for it is "long non-coding RNA (EGUI_LNC065077)". The record is from RNAcentral. Lineage: Eukaryota; Viridiplantae; Streptophyta; Magnoliopsida; Arecales; Arecaceae.